GAGGAAGUGGCCACUUUGAUUCUGGG
Molecule: non-coding RNA, 26 nt
Filed under: Homo sapiens (human)
Lineage: Eukaryota; Metazoa; Chordata; Mammalia; Primates; Hominidae
Source: RNAcentral